AAAAACGAUAGGUUCCACCGAGAUUUGAACUUGGAUCGCAGGAUUCAAAGUCCUGAGUGCUAACCGCUACACCAUGGAACCA
Molecule: non-coding RNA, 82 nt
Organism: Caenorhabditis elegans
Lineage: Eukaryota; Metazoa; Nematoda; Chromadorea; Rhabditida; Rhabditidae
Source: Ensembl